UACGUAGGGUGCAAGCGUUAAUCGGAAUUACUGGGCGUAAAGCGUGCGCAGGCGGUUUUGUAAGUCUGACGUGAAAUCCCCGGGCUCAACCUGGGAAUUGCGUUGGAGACUGCAAGGCUAGAAUCUGGCAGAGGGGGGUAGAAUUCCACGUGUAGCAGUGAAAUGCGUAGAGAUGUGGAGGAACACUGAUGGCGAAGGCAGCCCCCUGGGUCAAGAUUGACGCUCAUGCACGAAAGCGUGGGGAGCAAACAGG
RNAcentral lists this ribosomal RNA (253 nucleotides) under uncultured bacterium. Its description in RNAcentral is "partial 16S ribosomal RNA". It matches the Rfam family "Bacterial small subunit ribosomal RNA", at positions 524 to 776 of the family's 1533-position model. The record is from RNAcentral.